UUUUCUAAAAAAAAAUAUAACACCCACAGGCGCGAUACGGGUUUAACGUGCGGGGGUGCUAGAUUUAUGUCGACCAAAGCGAGCCGCGGGAGACUUGGCACUCCACAACCCCUUCUCACAGCGCCGUUCAUACAUUCAUCACACUGACCUAUUAAUCGAUAAUUAUUAAUCAUUUUUCAAAAGAAAAUAAAACACAAAUUUAAGGUAAAUCCAUCCAGCGCGACGGCAGUGGCGCGAAUCUAAGUAAG
Cinara cedri is the source of this 248-nucleotide non-coding RNA. Lineage: Eukaryota; Metazoa; Arthropoda; Insecta; Hemiptera; Aphididae. The record is from the annotation of a GenBank genome assembly.